Molecule: ribosomal RNA, 1493 nt
Filed under: uncultured bacterium
Lineage: Bacteria
Description: bacterial SSU rRNA
Rfam family: Bacterial small subunit ribosomal RNA
Source: RNAcentral
GACGAACGCUUGGCGUGAGGUUUACUUCAUGCGCGUUCCAUCAGAACGCUCUGGCUUCUGCCGGGGCAAGUACAGUGGCGGACGGGUGCGUAUCGCGUACAUAACCUGCCCUCAAGGGCGGGACAAUCACUGGAAACCGUGGCUAAUACCGCACGUCUUCUGGACCCCGCAUGGGGACCAGAUGAAAGCUUGGGGUUACCCAGGCGCCUUUGGAUGGGUCUGCGUUGGAUUAGCUUGUUGGUGAGGCAACGGCUCACCUAGGCGACAUAUCCAUAGCUGGUCUGACAGGACGGUCAGCCACACUGGGACUGAGACACGGCCCAGACUCCUACGGGAGGCAGCAGUGGGGAAUCUUGCACAAUGGGGUCACCCCUGAUGCAGCCAUGCCGCGUGGAGGAAGACACCCCUAUGGGGCGUAAACUCCUUUUCUGAACGAAGAAACCCCUGUAGGUUCACGGCACGACGGUAAUUCACGAAUAAGCAACGGCUAACUCCGUGCCAGCAGCCGCGGUAAUACAGAGGGUGCAAGCGUUGUCCGGAAUCACUGGGUGUAAAGGGUGUGUACGCGGGGCAGCAAGUCCGAUGUGAAACCCCAUGGCUUAACCAUGGAGGUGCAUUCUAAACUGUUGCUCUUGAAUCCCGGAGAGGCUGUCAGAAUUCCUGGUGUAGCGGUGAAAUGCGUAUAUAUCACUAGGAACACGCAAUGCGAAAGCAUGGCAUCUGGACUGGUACUGACGCCCAUGCGCGAAAGCGUGCGGAGCAAACACGAUUAUAUACCCUGGUACUCCACGCCGUACACGAUGAACGCUCGCCGUUGCGCCGCUCCACGGGCAGUGACUACGUUAACGCGUUAAGCGUUCCACCUGGAGAGUACGAUUGCAAGGUAGAAACUCAAAGGAAUUGACGGGGGCCAGCACAAGCGGUGGAGCAUGUGGGUCAAUUCGAUGCAACGAGAAGAACCUUACAUAGGCUGGAACGUUAGAGGACCGGUCGUGAAAGGGAGGUUCCCAUUUGGGGCCUCUAGCGAGGUAAUGCAUGGCAGUCGUCAGCUCGUGUGGUGAGAUGUUGGGAUAAGUCCCGCAAGGAGCGUAACCCCUUUUGCUAGUUACCAUCGGGUAGGGCUGGGGAGUUUAGCGAAACUGCAUGAGCAAGCAGUGAGGAAGGUGGGGAUGAUGUGGAGUCAUCAUGGUCCUUACGCGUAGGGCUGCACAUGUGAUACAAUGGCCGGUACAACGGGUAGCCACCUCGCGAGAGGGAGAGAAUCCUAGAAAGCCGGUCACAGUUCGGAUGGGAGUCUGCAACUCGUACAUCCAUGAAGCAGGAAUGAUUAGUAAUAGCGGAUCAGCAAUGCAGCGGUGAAUCCGUUCCUGGGCCUCGUACGCACCAGCCCGUCUAGCCGAGGAAGAUGAGAGCGCCAGAUAGUCCGUGACUCAAAACGGGCCAUGGGUUCUGAUAGAGAGCGGCCGAAGUGUAAGCUCAGUAACGUGGGUGCU